GACGAACGCUGGCUGCGUGCUUAACACAUGCAAGUCGAACGCUGAAACCCUGGUGCUUGCACCGGGGUGGAUGAGUGGCGAACGGGUGAGUAACACGUGAGUAACCUGCCCCCGACUUCGGGAUAAGCCCGGGAAACUGGGUCUAAUACCGGAUAUGAGCGCCCCUCGCAUGAGGGAUGCUGGAAAGUCUUUUCGGUUGGGGAUGGGCUCGCGGCCUAUCAGUUUGUUGGUGAGGUACUGGCUCACCAAGACGACGACGGGUAGCCGGCCUGAGAGGGCGACCGGCCACACUGGGACUGAGACACGGCCCAGACUCCUACGGGAGGCAGCAGUGGGGAAUAUUGCACAAUGGGGGAAACCCUGAUGCAGCGACGCAGCGUGCGGGAUGACGGCCUUCGGGUUGUAAACCGCUUUCAGCAGGGAAGAAGCCCCUUGGGGUGACGGUACCUGCAGAAGAAGUACCGGCUAACUACGUGCCAGCAGCCGCCGCCG
This 492-nucleotide ribosomal RNA is filed under the name uncultured bacterium. Its description in RNAcentral is "partial 16S ribosomal RNA". It matches the Rfam family "Bacterial small subunit ribosomal RNA", at positions 28 to 523 of the family's 1533-position model. The record is from RNAcentral.